GACGAACGCUGGCGGCGUGCUUAACACAUGCAAGUCGAACGGAAAGGCCCUUCGGGGUACUCGAGUGGCGAACGGGUGAGUAACACGUGGGUGAUCUGCCCUGCACUUUGGGAUAAGCCUGGGAAACUGGGUCUAAUACCGAAUAGGACCACGCGCUUCAUGGUGUGUGGUGGAAAGCUUUUGCGGUGUGGGAUGGGCCCGCGGCCUAUCAGCUUGUUGGUGGGGUAAUGGCCUACCAAGGCGACGACAGGUAGCCGGCCUGAGAGGGUGACCGGCCACACUGGGACUGAGAUACGGCCCAGACUCCUACGGGAGGCAGCAGUGGGGAAUAUUGCACAAUGGGCGCAAGCCUGAUGCAGCGACGCCGCGUGAGGGAUGACGGCCUUCGGGUUGUAAACCUCUUUCUCCAGGGACGAAGCGUAAGUGACGGUACCUGGAGAAGAAGCACCGGCCAACUACGUG
Molecule: ribosomal RNA, 462 nt
Filed under: uncultured bacterium
Lineage: Bacteria
Description: partial 16S ribosomal RNA
Rfam family: Bacterial small subunit ribosomal RNA
Source: RNAcentral